Molecule: transfer RNA, 72 nt
Organism: Camelus ferus (Wild Bactrian camel)
Lineage: Eukaryota; Metazoa; Chordata; Mammalia; Artiodactyla; Camelidae
Rfam family: tRNA
About the family: Transfer RNA (tRNA) molecules are approximately 80 nucleotides in length. Their secondary structure includes four short double-helical elements and three loops (D, anti-codon, and T loops). Further hydrogen bonds mediate the characteristic L-shaped molecular structure. tRNAs have two regions of fundamental functional importance: the anti-codon, which is responsible for specific mRNA codon recognition, and the 3' end, to which the tRNAs corresponding amino acid is attached (by aminoacyl-tRNA synthetases). tRNAs cope with the degeneracy of the genetic code in two manners: having more than one tRNA (with a specific anti-codon) for a particular amino acid; and 'wobble' base-pairing, i.e. permitting non-standard base-pairing at the 3rd anti-codon position.
Source: Rfam
GAGGAUAUAGCUCAGUGGUAGAGUGUGUGUUUUGCAUGCACAUGGCCCUGGUUUCAAUCCCCAGUACUUUUA